RNAcentral lists this ribosomal RNA (156 nucleotides) under Begonia aptera. RNAcentral describes it as "5.8S ribosomal RNA". It matches the Rfam family "5.8S ribosomal RNA". Rfam says of the family: 5.8S ribosomal RNA (5.8S rRNA) is a component of the large subunit of the eukaryotic ribosome. It is transcribed by RNA polymerase I as part of the 45S precursor that also contains 18S and 28S rRNA. The record is from RNAcentral. Lineage: Eukaryota; Viridiplantae; Streptophyta; Magnoliopsida; Cucurbitales; Begoniaceae.
CUCGACAACGGAUAUCUCGGCUCUCGCAUCGAUGAAGAACGUAGUGAAAUGCGAUACUUGGUGUGAAUUGCAGAAUUCCGUGGAACCAUCGAGUUUUUUGAACGCAAGUUGCGCCCGAAGCCUUCUGGCCGAGGGCACGUCUGCCUGGGCGUCACG